GUGCUCACUUUGGCAGCACAUACACUAAAAUUGGAACGAUACGGAGAGGAUUAGCAUGGUCCCUGUGCAAGGGUGACCCACAAAUUCGUGAAGCAUUCCAUUUUUUU
This is a small nuclear RNA of Physeter macrocephalus (sperm whale), 107 nucleotides long. The record is from Ensembl. NCBI's taxonomy places the organism in Eukaryota, Metazoa, Chordata, Mammalia, Artiodactyla, Physeteridae.